RNAcentral lists this ribosomal RNA (305 nucleotides) under uncultured bacterium. Its description in RNAcentral is "bacterial SSU rRNA". It matches the Rfam family "Bacterial small subunit ribosomal RNA", at positions 337 to 639 of the family's 1533-position model. The record is from RNAcentral.
UCCUACGGGACGCAGCAGUGAGGAAUAUUGGUCAAUGGACGCAAGUCUGAACCAGCCAUGCCGCGUGCAAGAUGACGGCUCUAUGAGUUGUAAACUGCUUUUGUACGAGGGUAAACCCCGAUACGUGUAUCGGGUUGAAAGUAUCGUACGAAUAAGGAUCGGCUAAUUCCGUGCCAGCAGCCGCGGUAAUACGGAAGGUCCGGGCGUUAUCCGGAUUUAUUGGGUUUAAAGGGAGCGUAGGCGGGCCGUUAAGUCAGUUGUGAAAGUUCGGGGCUCAACCCCGGAAUUGCAGUUGAAACUGCCGG